GGGUUGUGAGGUUAAGCGACUAAGCGUACACGGUGGAUGCCCUGGCAGUCAGAGGCGAUGAAGGACGUGCUAAUCUGCGAUAAGCGUCGGUAAGGUGAUAUGAACCGUUAUAACCGGCGAUUUCCGAAUGGGGAAACCCAGUGUGAUUCGUCACACUAUCAUUAACUGAAUCCAUAGGUUAAUGAGGCGAACCGGGGGAACUGAAACAUCUAAGUACCCCGAGGAAAAGAAAUCAACCGAGAUUCCCCCAGUAGCGGCGAGCGAACGGGGAGCAGCCCAGAGCCUGAAUCAGUGUGUGUGUUAGUGGAAGCGUCUGGAAAGGCGCGCGAUACAGGGUGACAGCCCCGUACACAAAAAUGCACAUGCUGUGAGCUCGAUGAGUAGGGCGGGACACGUGGUAUCCUGUCUGAAUAUGGGGGGACCAUCCUCCAAGGCUAAAUACUCCUGACUGACCGAUAGUGAACCAGUACCGUGAGGGAAAGGCGAAAAGAACCCCGGCGAGGGGAGUGAAAAAGAACCUGAAACCGUGUACGUACAAGCAGUGGGAGCCUCUUUAUGGGGUGACUGCGUACCUUUUGUAUAAUGGGUCAGCGACUUAUAUUCUGUAGCAAGGUUAACCGAAUAGGGGAGCCGAAGGGAAACCGAGUCUUAACUGGGCGUUAAGUUGCAGGGUAUAGACCCGAAACCCGGUGAUCUAGCCAUGGGCAGGUUGAAGGUUGGGUAACACUAACUGGAGGACCGAACCGACUAAUGUUGAAAAAUUAGCGGAUGACUUGUGGCUGGGGGUGAAAGGCCAAUCAAACCGGGAGAUAGCUGGUUCUCCCCGAAAGCUAUUUAGGUAGCGCCUCGUGAAUUCAUCUCCGGGGGUAGAGCACUGUUUCGGCAAGGGGGUCAUCCCGACUUACCAACCCGAUGCAAACUGCGAAUACCGGAGAAUGUUAUCACGGGAGACACACGGCGGGUGCUAACGUCCGUCGUGAAGAGGGAAACAACCCAGACCGCCAGCUAAGGUCCCAAAGUCAUGGUUAAGUGGGAAACGAUGUGGGAAGGCCCAGACAGCCAGGAUGUUGGCUUAGAAGCAGCCAUCAUUUAAAGAAAGCGUAAUAGCUCACUGGUCGAGUCGGCCUGCGCGGAAGAUGUAACGGGGCUAAACCAUGCACCGAAGCUGCGGCAGCGACACUGUGUGUUGUUGGGUAGGGGAGCGUUCUGUAAGCCUGCGAAGGUGUGCUGUGAGGCAUGCUGGAGGUAUCAGAAGUGCGAAUGCUGACAUAAGUAACGAUAAAGCGGGUGAAAAGCCCGCUCGCCGGAAGACCAAGGGUUCCUGUCCAACGUUAAUCGGGGCAGGGUGAGUCGACCCCUAAGGCGAGGCCGAAAGGCGUAGUCGAUGGGAAACAGGUUAAUAUUCCUGUACUUGGUGUUACUGCGAAGGGGGGACGGAGAAGGCUAUGUUGGCCGGGCGACGGUUGUCCCGGUUUAAGCGUGUAGGCUGGUUUUCCAGGCAAAUCCGGAAAAUCAAGGCUGAGGCGUGAUGACGAGGCACUACGGUGCUGAAGCAACAAAUGCCCUGCUUCCAGGAAAAGCCUCUAAGCAUCAGGUAACAUCAAAUCGUACCCCAAACCGACACAGGUGGUCAGGUAGAGAAUACCAAGGCGCUUGAGAGAACUCGGGUGAAGGAACUAGGCAAAAUGGUGCCGUAACUUCGGGAGAAGGCACGCUGAUAUGUAGGUGAAGUCCCUCGCGGAUGGAGCUGAAAUCAGUCGAAGAUACCAGCUGGCUGCAACUGUUUAUUAAAAACACAGCACUGUGCAAACACGAAAGUGGACGUAUACGGUGUGACGCCUGCCCGGUGCCGGAAGGUUAAUUGAUGGGGUCAGCGCAAGCGAAGCUCUUGAUCGAAGCCCCGGUAAACGGCGGCCGUAACUAUAACGGUCCUAAGGUAGCGAAAUUCCUUGUCGGGUAAGUUCCGACCUGCACGAAUGGCGUAAUGAUGGCCAGGCUGUCUCCACCCGAGACUCAGUGAAAUUGAACUCGCUGUGAAGAUGCAGUGUACCCGCGGCAAGACGGAAAGACCCCGUGAACCUUUACUAUAGCUUGACACUGAACAUUGAGCCUUGAUGUGUAGGAUAGGUGGGAGGCUUUGAAGUGUGGACGCCAGUCUGCAUGGAGCCGACCUUGAAAUACCACCCUUUAAUGUUUGAUGUUCUAACGUUGACCCGUGAUCCGGGUUGCGGACAGUGUCUGGUGGGUAGUUUGACUGGGGCGGUCUCCUCCUAAAGAGUAACGGAGGAGCACGAAGGUUGGCUAAUCCUGGUCGGACAUCAGGAGGUUAGUGCAAUGGCAUAAGCCAGCUUGACUGCGAGCGUGACGGCGCGAGCAGGUGCGAAAGCAGGUCAUAGUGAUCCGGUGGUUCUGAAUGGAAGGGCCAUCGCUCAACGGAUAAAAGGUACUCCGGGGAUAACAGGCUGAUACCGCCCAAGAGUUCAUAUCGACGGCGGUGUUUGGCACCUCGAUGUCGGCUCAUCACAUCCUGGGGCUGAAGUAGGUCCCAAGGGUAUGGCUGUUCGCCAUUUAAAGUGGUACGCGAGCUGGGUUUAGAACGUCGUGAGACAGUUCGGUCCCUAUCUGCCGUGGGCGCUGGAGAACUGAGGGGGGCUGCUCCUAGUACGAGAGGACCGGAGUGGACGCAUCACUGGUGUUCGGGUUGUCAUGCCAAUGGCACUGCCCGGUAGCUAAAUGCGGAAGAGAUAAGUGCUGAAAGCAUCUAAGCACGAAACUUGCCCC
This 2781-nucleotide ribosomal RNA is filed under the name Escherichia coli. Its description in RNAcentral is "bacterial LSU rRNA". It matches the Rfam family "Bacterial large subunit ribosomal RNA". The record is from RNAcentral. Lineage: Bacteria; Pseudomonadati; Pseudomonadota; Gammaproteobacteria; Enterobacterales; Enterobacteriaceae.